RNAcentral lists this ribosomal RNA (603 nucleotides) under Porrostoma sp. UPOL A00045. Its description in RNAcentral is "partial 16S ribosomal RNA". It matches the Rfam family "Bacterial large subunit ribosomal RNA", at positions 1816 to 2714 of the family's 2925-position model. Lineage: Eukaryota; Metazoa; Arthropoda; Insecta; Coleoptera; Lycidae. The record is from RNAcentral.
CAUGUCCUUUUGAUUAUAAUUUAAGGUCUGAUCUGCUCAAUGAUUAAUUAAAUUGCCGCAGUAUUUUAACUGUGCAAAGGUAGCAUAAUAAUUAGUUUCUUAAUUAGAAACUGGAAUGAAUGAUUGGACGAGAAAAUUACUGUCUCUUUUUUAAAUUUUUUGAAUUUUAUUUUUAAGUCAAAAAGCUUAAAUUUGUAUAAAAGACGAGAAGACCCUAUAGAGUUUAAUAUUUAAAAAUAAUUGGUUAUUAGAAUACUUUUUUAUUAAUAUUUAUUUAGUUGGGGUGACUUAAAGAUAAAAAUAAUUCUUUAAUUAGAAAAUUGGUGAUUUCUAAAUUUAAAAUCUAUAGUUUAUAAAACUAAAAUAAAUUACCUUAGGGAUAACAGCGUAAUUUUACUUAAAAGUUCUUAUUAAAAGUAAAGUUUGCGACCUCGAUGUUGGAUUAAAAUUAAUUUUUGGUGCAAUAACUUAAAAAUUAGGUCUGUUCGACCUUUAAAAUUUUACAUGAUCUGAGUUUAAACCGGUGUAAACCAGGUUGGAUUCUAUCUUUAGAAAAUUAUUAUAUUUUAGUACGAAAGGACCAAUUAUAAAUUAAAUUAAUUG